Molecule: ribosomal RNA, 1361 nt
Filed under: uncultured bacterium
Lineage: Bacteria
Description: bacterial SSU rRNA
Rfam family: Bacterial small subunit ribosomal RNA
Source: RNAcentral
AGUUUGAUCCUGGCUCAGGACGAACGCUGGCGGCGCGCCUAACACAUGCAAGUCGAACGGAGCUUAGAGAGCUUGCUUUUUAAGCUUAGUGGCGAACGGGUGAUAACCGGGAGACACCCUCCCUAAGGGGGGGCACACGUUGGAAACGGUUUUUAUACCCGCAUAACGCCCCGGUCCCCCAUGCCCUGGGAGAAAAGGAUUUUUCGCUUUGAGAGGAACUCGGUCCAAUUAAGUUAGUGGGGGAGUAACGGCCCACCAAGGCGACGGUUGGUACCCGGAUUGAGAGGUUGAACGGCCACAUUGGGAUUGAGCCCCGGCCCAGAUUCCUACGGGAGGCAGCAGUGGGGAUAUUGCACAAUGGGGGAAACCCUGAUGCAGCGACGCCGCGUGGAGGAAGAAGGUUUUCGGAUUGUAAACUCCUGUCGUUAGGGACGAUAAUGACGGUACCUAACAAGAAAGCACCGGCUAACUACGUGCCAGCAGCCGCGGUAAAACGUAGGGUGCAAGCGUUGUCCGGAAUUACUGGGUGUAAAGGGAGCGCAGGCGGGAAGACAAGUUGGAAGUGAAAACCAUGGGCUCAACCCAUGAAUUGCUUUCAAAACUGUUUUUCUUGAGUAGUGCAGAGGUAGAUGGAAUUCCCGGUGUAGCGGUGGAAUGCGUAGAUAUCGGGAGGAACACCAGUGGCGAAGGCGGUCUACUGGGCACCAACUGACGCUGAGGCUCGAAAGCAUGGGUAGCAAACAGGAUUAGAUACCCUGGUAGUCCAUGCCGUAAACGAUGAUUACUAGGUGUUGGGGGAUUGACCCCCUCAGUGCCGCAGUUAACACAAUAAGUAAUCCACCUGGGGAGUACGACCGCAAGGUUGAAACUCAAAGGAAUUGACGGGGGCCCGCACAAGCAGUGGAGUAUGUGGUUUAAUUCGAAGCAACGCGAAGAACCUUACCAGGUCUUGACAUCCGAUGCAUAGCACAGAGAUGUGUGAAAUCCUUCGGGACAUCGAGACAGGUGGUGCAUGGUUGUCGUCAGCUCGUGUCGUGAGAUGUUGGGUUAAGUCCCGCAACGAGCGCAACCCUUAUUGCCAGUUACUACGUUAAGAGGACUCUGGCGAGACUGCCGUUGACAAAACGGAGGAAGGUGGGGAUGACGUCAAAUCAUCAUGCCCUUUAUGACCUGGGCUACACACGUACUACAAUGGCGUUAAACAAAGAGAAGCAAGACCGCGAGGUGGAGCAAAACUCAAAAACAACGUCUCAGUUCAGAUUGCAGGCUGCAACUCGCCUGCAUGAAGUCGGAAUUGCUAGUAAUCGCGGAUCAGCAUGCCGCGGUGAAUACGUUCCCGGGCCUUGUACACACCGCCCGUC